Molecule: long non-coding RNA, 3467 nt
Organism: Gasterosteus aculeatus aculeatus (three-spined stickleback)
Lineage: Eukaryota; Metazoa; Chordata; Actinopteri; Perciformes; Gasterosteidae
Source: RefSeq, a predicted model, not a curated record
UAGGCCAGUGCUUGUUAUGUGAUCAGGAAGUAAUGACUUCGGCUACGGGAACCAGCCGGGGCAAAGGGACGAUGCCUCAUAGGAUUAAGCAUCGGCAGCAGUCGCGCAUAGAACCUCCCUCAGGAGCUGCUGGUCCUACUCCACCAUCACCCAGUCUGUUCUCUGUUCUCACUGCAUGGUUUGGACAGGCCACUAAACAGACUACAACGGAUCAUCAGGUCUGCGGAGAGAAUCAAAGGCUCCAGCCUUCCAUCCUUCCAUCCUGGACUUGUACACCUCCAGAGUCAGGAAGCGCCAGGGAAGAUCACUGCAGACCCGUCACACAACCUGUUCAGACUCCUCCCCUCUGAUAGGCGCUACUGAGCCCUGUAUGUUAAGACCCCCAGACACAGGAACAGCAUCUUCCCUCAGACCGUCUCUCUGAUGAACAACUUAUCUGUCCCCUUCUCCCCAUUUGCACGUCACUCUGCACUAUAACCUGUUAUAUACAUACACAUAUACACACUUUGGGUAUAUUCAUUUAGAUCUCGUUAAACGUUAAAUCCAAUCUUUAUCUUUUUAGGGAGUAAACCCAAGUCAAACAUAUAUCCAUAAAAGCAUACGUGGCCAAAAUUGCCGAUUCAGAUUCUGAAUCAUCAGUAUUUACCAUCCGUCUCAUUCUUCCAGUAUAAAGUACUAAGUUUGGCAGAUGGGACGAUAGUUAGAGGGGAAAAAAUGAAUAGUCUGUUAUAUACACAAUAGCACAUUUAGGUUUUCCCAUUAUUCAGCAUGAAAAAAACCUCAAAUCUGAAUAAUGAAUGUUUUUUUUUAAUGAUAUUGAAUCUAAAUGAUUUUUAAGGGGAUUAUUUUUCUACACAGUACACAACUUUGAAAUUGACAUUAUUUAUCAUACUGUAAAACUUUCAAAGUGAAUUAGUGUUUUUAAUUUGGUGAGUAGUGCGCUAUGACCACUGUUUAUGGUUCCAUGUCAGAGUGAAUUCAGACUGCUAAUGGCAGGCCACGUACAAAGUGUAAGCACUCCACCGACUCAGACACAAAUAGACUUGUAUUAAUGUCAAUUAGUACAACGCUCAUAUCAGCCGUUAACCUGCUCCCUAUUACUUUUCAGAAGUGAAGUAGAGAAGAAGGUGCGCUUCAUUAAUCAAGUCCAUUUAACCUUCCAGUAGGCAUUCCGUAUUCUAAUGCAGUCAAAGAAAAAAAAUGGUGACAAAGAAAAUACAGAAAACAGUUAACAGAGAAGGUGAAAGAAGUAGCUGCAAUCAGGUUUAAGACACAGACUUUGAAUUAGUCAUUAGUUCUAAUUAGUUCACACAAAGUACAGGAAAGUUGUGUCUCAACAUAACAUUUUAUUUUUAUAGCUUUAACCAACGCAUACAAUGUUUGCCAAUGUCAGCCUAAAAAAAAAAGGCGGGCCGGGCCCUCUGGGCUGGGAGUACAAGGCACUGCCCAGAGGUCAAGGAUGUUGCUUUCAUGCUCAUGAGAAAAGGCGGAGAAAAAAAGGAGCGGCGAUGCAUUAUAGGCAACAUCUGUCAUAUUCACAAGACAGCGCUGUAAAGAACUGUAGCAUUUAAUUAUACUUUCUUGUGCAUGAGGGAAUGAAAAGUUGAGAAGUGUAAAUACUGAGCUAUUUCUAAAUUGCAGCAAAUAAGUGAAUAUAUUGGAAAAUUAAAUGGUGUUCCCCACAAGUUCUUGUGGUAGUUUGAUAAUUAAUGAGAAAGCUUGAGCUAUUAAGUUUAGCCUUGAUAAAGGCAACAUAUUAAAGACUAUCGAAUAGAUAGUGAUCAGCAUGAUUUAAUUUAAUUUUUCUUACUUUUUACUCUUAAUUUCAUUCAUUACCCCGGCAUAGACGAUGGCAAACAAUGAUACACAACAAAGGUGUUAGAAUGUAAUUCCUCUUCAGAGUCAAGCAAUUAAAGAAAUCAUUAAUUAUUUUUAUUAUUAUUUAUAUUAUUUUUGGCUGUUAAGACCAUAUCAUUCUUAUUUUACGAGACAUUCAUUCCUCCAUAAAUCCCUGAAAAGUAAUAAUCCCCAAAGUCUCCCUUGGAAAAUCAUUCUUAGUGCAUUUUUCUUUUCUUUUUUUGUGAACACACAUAAAAGUUUUCCAUGCAGGACCCCUAUGUUUUAAUGUUUCAGAUUCCACGUAAAAAAUAAAAAAAAAAGACCUCACCAUGCAGCACAAUAGAGCUGGACUUUAAAUAAGAGGUUAAUCCAUUACAAAUUAGAACCAUCCAAUAGCUUUCCCCAACCGAUCCUUUACGUAAUGCGGCUGGGGUAACACUAACACAGAUUUUCGAAUCGUUCUCAGUGUGAUGUUACAGCCUUGAGCUCUGGCUGGGAAUACAGGAAAUUGUCUUGUAUCUUUUCAUGCUGUAUUUGAGAACAAGAGGUUGCUCUGAUUCACCUCACCGCAUGAGGGAAAAGAGUCGAUAAAAGGCGGAUAAACUGGCUGGAGGACAUGUGAACGAGCAGCAUCCAUCUCUUAAUGAAGACCCACACUGGAACUAGUUUGGAGCAGCAUCUGUAUGCACGGCAUUUUUCCCUCCGUUUCACAGUACAGUGCUUUCCUAGCAGUGUACUGUUGACUUCAAAAGGUAACGUAGUUUGCUGACCUGUAAAUAUAUUAUAGAUCUGCAAUGCACCACAUCUCUUUACUGCACCAGUAAAAGAAGAAAUGAAGCACAACAUAAUCUAAAAUAGGGGCUUUUUACAAAUGUACUUAAGGGGGAAAAAAGCAUCAAUCUUCAUGUAGCCACCUGUAUUGCCUAAUUUGAAGCUAAAGAAAUAUCUGCUACUAGUUAAUGAUAAAUUAUCACUAAGUAUAGCAAAAGGUCAUCAAAUCUUCCAUUAGAGCCUCUUACAAGACUUUCUUGACAUGUUUUUAUCUAGUCUUUUUAACUGUAAAGCUCUGGGUAACAAUGGGUUUCUAAAAGGUUUGACCUUAAGAGUCAUACCUUUGAGUGCAGACAGCUCCGGCGGACCCAAAUUGCUCUCAGUUCAAAGUCUGAUUGGCAUUUCAAAAAAUAGUGCAUCGAUUUGUUCAGGUUAUUUCCCCCUCUGUGACACUCUCCCCGGGCUGUUAUCGCAGCAGGAUGUGGACUUGCGCCUCGGUGGAGGAGCAGGCGGCACCAGCUGGCUCGAGGUAACUGGUUACGACCCACGGGUGAACUGCAGCAGCAGCAGUGGACGGAGGCUGACCAAGGCGUAAAGCUGCUCACUCUUCAUACGUGAGUCCAAGAGGCCUUUCAAAAGACAAGAAUGUGCCAGGAGGCUAAACUAAGCAUAUAAUCCGCACAUGCCGUGUGUCGAAACUUUCAGGGCACCAAUGACGCCAAGCCUACGUAUCUUCACAAGUGCCUGACCGAUGAGACAUCUGCUCUGGCAUUAAGGCCUGGCAUUAACCAGGGAAAAUAACAACCAAGAUCUCUGGAGCCAAGCUGGCCAGAUACAAGGAGCGACCGACAGAAGAA